This 484-nucleotide ribosomal RNA is filed under the name uncultured bacterium. RNAcentral describes it as "partial 16S ribosomal RNA". It matches the Rfam family "Bacterial small subunit ribosomal RNA", at positions 29 to 507 of the family's 1533-position model. The record is from RNAcentral.
AUUGAACGCUGGCGGCAUGCUUUACACAUGCAAGUCGAGCGGCAGCACGGGGGUUACUCUGGUGGCGAGCGGCGGACGGGUGAGUAAUACAUAGGAACAUGCCCAGUCGUGGGGGAUAACACCUCGAAAGAGGUGCUAAUACCGCAUACGUCCUGAGGGAGAAAGCGGGGGAUCGCAAGACCUCGCGCGAUUGGAGUGGCCGAUGUCAGAUUAGCUAGUUGGUGGGGUAAAGGCCUACCAAGGCAACGAUCUGUAGCUGGUCUGAGAGGAUGAUCAGCCACACUGGGACUGAGACACGGCCCAGACUCCUACGGGAGGCAGCAGUGGGGAAUAUUGGACAAUGGGCGCAAGCCUGAUCCAGCCAUGCCGCGUGAGUGAAGAAGGUCUUCGGAUUGUAAAGCACUUUAGGCAGGAAGGAAGCGGAGUACGCUAACAUAGCGCUGUAAUGACGGUACCUGAAGAAGAAGCACCGGCUAACUACGUG